RNAcentral lists this ribosomal RNA (274 nucleotides) under uncultured bacterium. Its description in RNAcentral is "partial 16S ribosomal RNA". It matches the Rfam family "Bacterial small subunit ribosomal RNA", at positions 523 to 796 of the family's 1533-position model. The record is from RNAcentral.
AGACGAAGGUGGCAACCGUUGUUCGGAAUCACUGGGCAUAAAGCGCACGUAGGCGGGAAAGCAAGUCGGGUGUGAAAUCCCUCGGCCCAACCGAGGAACUGCGCCCGAAACUGCUUUUCUUGAGGACAGAAGGGGAGCAUGGAAUUCCUGGUGGAGCGGUGAAAUGCGUUGAUAUCAGGAGGAACACCGGCGGCGAAGGCGAUGCUCUGGUCUGUUUCUGACGCUAAGGUGCGAAAGCCAGGGGAGCAAACGGGAUUAGAUACCCCAGUAGUCC